AGAGAGAGACAUGCGCGCAUAUCAAUAAGCGGAGGAAAAGAAACUAACAAGGAUUCCCCUAGUAACGGCGAGUGAAGCGGGAAGAGCUCAAAUUUGAAAUCUUAAAGGGUUUCCCUUUACGAAUUGUAGUUUAAAGAAGUGUUUUCUGUUGAGGUUUUGGUAAAAGUUCUUUGGAAUAGGACAUCAUAGAGGGUGAGAAUCCCGUAUUUGACCUUUACUUUCAACUUUGUGAUACACUUUCAAAGAGUCGGAUUGUUUGGGAAUGCAGUCCUAAAUGGGUGGUAAAUUUCAUCUAAAGCUAAAUAUUGGCGAGAGACCGAUAGCGAACAAGUACCGUGAGGGAAAGAUGAAAAGAACUUUGAAAAGAGAGUUAAACAGUACGUGAAAUUGUCAAAAGGGAAGCGUUUGACACCAGUGUUGUUUUUCUGAAAAUCAAUUAAAGAACUGUUUAUGCUAAGCUGUUUAGACUUUAUCAGCUAUCUGUUUAGUUUUGAGCUUUUCUUUAAUGCACUUUUCAGUUAACAAGUCAACAUCAAUUUCUUUUGCUGUAAAAAAGCUUGAGGAAGGUGGCUUGAGAUUCGUCUUAAGUGUUUAUAGCCUCUUGCCUAUGCAGUCGGAGAGAUUGAGGUCUGCAGCGUAGAUCCUUCGGGGCUAAAUGCAUUUGUGCUAAGUUAUAGCAUUUUAUAGACAACUUGUUGACUAUGAUUUGUCUUGUAGCUUACUCGCUUAUGUUAUGUUACCUACGCUUAGGAUGUUGACGCAUGAGAUAUACGC
This 774-nucleotide ribosomal RNA is filed under the name uncultured Neocallimastigales. Its description in RNAcentral is "partial large subunit ribosomal RNA". It matches the Rfam family "Eukaryotic large subunit ribosomal RNA", at positions 23 to 647 of the family's 3401-position model. The record is from RNAcentral. Lineage: Eukaryota; Fungi; Neocallimastigomycota; Neocallimastigomycetes; Neocallimastigales.